This 1297-nucleotide long non-coding RNA is filed under the name Monodelphis domestica (gray short-tailed opossum). RNAcentral's name for it is "lncRNA (ENSMODG00000047952.1)". Lineage: Eukaryota; Metazoa; Chordata; Mammalia; Didelphimorphia; Didelphidae. The record is from RNAcentral.
UGAGGGGCCAUUGACCUCUAUUAUUGGUAACUUCCAGCCUUGCCUAUAAGCUCGGAGCUUUUGUGCCUCACUCUCUCAUGGUCUUAAAUGUAUUACAACCCACUUACUAGAUAUAUAACCUUGGGUAAGUCACUUACCCUCUUUAGCCUCAAUUUCCUUUACUGUAAAAUGGGAAUAAUAAUAACAAAAAUAAUAAUACCACCUACUUCCCAGGACUGUGGUGAAGAUAAAAUGAGAUAUUUGUAAAGCACUUGGCAUAUGGCAGAUUAUUAUUAAUAUUAUUAUUAUAGAAUAUUAGCUUUUGGGCUGCAAUGAAAGUUGUUUUCUUCUACUCCUAAUCCUAAACUUGCACUUGACAAUAGUUUUCUAGUAAGUAGUCUUUUCCAAGCCAAAUAUAGUCAUUCAAGCACCUAUUGUGCCCUGAAUGAUUGUUAAGUUUCAUUAUAUAUUCGGGUUUUUUUUUUCAUUUUCAGUUUGUCAUUGAAGAGUCGUCGUAUCCUUUAAUGGAGGAUAACAUUGGUGAGGUGAAGUAUACUUGUACUGACAUGCUCUUCAUAAUGUUGUGUCUGUCCGAAUGACACAGUUGAGCCACCACUGUGCACUGCAUACCUCUGGACCUGGAUGAACAGCCAUCAUCACUCUUUAGUCAUAGGGGAAUUGGAGCCAUUAACUCCUCAAUGGUGGCUUUCAAAGCCACCUCUUGGCUGUGAUGAUGGCAAUAUUAGAAUGCAUCCUCAACAAUUAGCACUGUGCCUGGCACAUUAUGAUCAGACUUUGCUCUCAACAUGGAAAUGUCCAGGUUUGGCAGUAACCCUGUAAGUUCAAGUGGCCUGGAGGUCGAGUCUCUUAGUCAGAACUGGCUGGUGUCAAAGGAAGUUUCUGGAUCCAGUAAAAUGACUGCUGCCAAAGAAGAUAACAUGGACUAGGAAAAGAUAGGGCAGAGUCCAUUUCCUCAAUCUGCUUUAUGUUUGGAUGCCCUUGAAAUCUCAACUUUCUGAGAAAGUUGAGUAUACCAGUUCUUAGGAAUUAAAAUGGAUGAAUCCUGUUUUAAGUCUUUUUGAUAAUGUAUGCUUGUUAAUGCUUUGCUUUUAGCAUUUAAAAAAUAUUUUUCCUCAAUGACAUGUAAAAACAAUCUUUUACUUUAAAAAUAUUUUGAGCCAAAUUUUUCCUCCUCUCCCUCCAUCCUCCCUCUCUAAGAGAGCAAGUAAUCUAAUAUAUAUUUUACAUGUGAAAUCAUGUAAAACAUUUUUCCUUUUUAGUCAUUUUGUGGAAUAGAAUUCAAACAAAAAUAAACAAG